AUUGAACGCUGGCGGCAUGCCUAACACAUGCAAGUCGAACGGCAGCACAGUAAAGACUUCGGUCUUUAUGGGUGGCGAGUGGCGGACGGGUGAGUAACGCGUAGGAAUCUGUCCUGGAGAGUGGGAUAACCCGAGGAAACUCGGGCUAAUACCGCAUGAUAUCGAGAGAUCAAAGGCAGGGGACCCUUCGGGGCCUUGCGCUCUAGGUUGAGCCUACGUCGGAUUAGCUAGUUGGUGGGGUAAAGGCCUACCAAGGCGACGAUCCGUAGCUGGUCUGAGAGGAUGACCAGCCACACAGGGACUGAGACACGGCCCAGACUCCUACGGGAGGCAGCAGUGGGGAAUCCUGGACAAUGGGGGAAACCCUGAUCCAGCGAUGCCGCGUGUGUGAAGAAGGCCUUCGGGUUGUAAAGCACUUUAGGUGGGGAAGAAAGGUAAUGAGUGAAUAACUGAUUGCUUUGACGGUACCCGCAGAAUAAGCACCGGCUAACUCUGUGCCAGCCGCCGCCGUAA
RNAcentral lists this ribosomal RNA (513 nucleotides) under uncultured bacterium. RNAcentral's name for it is "partial 16S ribosomal RNA". It matches the Rfam family "Bacterial small subunit ribosomal RNA", at positions 30 to 523 of the family's 1533-position model. The record is from RNAcentral.